This 166-nucleotide unclassified non-coding RNA is filed under the name uncultured Strelitziana. RNAcentral describes it as "sequence contains ITS2". Lineage: Eukaryota; Fungi; Ascomycota; Eurotiomycetes; Chaetothyriales. The record is from RNAcentral.
UCCUCUCUCCAACCGUUUGGCUGGGUGUUGGACCGAGUUGGGGGCAACCGCAACUGGUCUCAAAGACAAUGACGGCGUCCGUGGGGCCCUCUUCGCAACGAGUCUUUCGAGGCACGCGGGGAGUUGCAAGGCCUCGUCGGGUCGGUCUAACCUUUUAUAUUUCUCA